Molecule: ribosomal RNA, 254 nt
Filed under: uncultured bacterium
Lineage: Bacteria
Description: partial 16S ribosomal RNA
Rfam family: Bacterial small subunit ribosomal RNA
Source: RNAcentral
UACGGAAGGGGACUAGCGUUGUUCGGAAUACUGGGCGUAAAGCGUGCGCAGGCGGUUAUGUAAGACAGUUGUGAAAUCCCCGGGCUCAACCUGGGAACUGCAUCUGUGACUGCAUAGCUAGAGUACGGUAGAGGGGGAUGGAAUUCCGCGUGUAGCAGUGAAAUGCGUAGAUAUGCGGAGGAACACCGAUGGCGAAGGCAAUCCCCUGGACCUGUACUGACGCUCAUGCACGAAAGCGUGGGGGAGCAAACAGG